CCCAUACCAUGCCAGCCUUGGUAAGGGAGAAGGGACAGGCAGACGGAAGGAAUUGCCAAAGGUGUUUGAAAAUGGGUGGAGGCUCUUGGGAAGCGGGUGCCCAAUAGGGGCUUCUACAGGGGCAGCAGAAUGUCUUGGGCAGAAUCCCUGCAGGAGCUCUGAGACUCCCUUGACUUUGUCCUUCCUCCCAGGAAACUACAACUUGCUUUGGCUUCUGUGCUCCUCAAGAAGUUGAACGUCCAAACCUGGUCAGGAUGGACGGACGAAGAUGGGCAGCUGACCUGCUCAAGCUGUCUCCUGCAUCCCUCCCUACAACCUCUGAUCAUCCCCUCCCGGGACCCUCAGAGAAAUCUGGUGAGGAAGAGGACGGUCAGAAUUCUAUGGAGCCAUCUGUGAAUUCAUUGGGAAGAACAAAGAAACAAUUUAAAUGCAGGGAAUGUGGAAUGUGCUUUAGUCACUGUGGAAGAAUGAGGAUACACCAACAAACUCACACAGGAGAGAAACCAUUUGAAUACAUGGAGUGUGGAAAGAGCUACAGUUGUAGUCAAACACUUGGAAUACAUCAACGAAAUCAAAUGAGGUAGAAACAGUUUAAAUGUAUUGAAUGUGGAAAGAGCUUCAGUGAAAGUAGAAACCUUAGAAUACAUCAACGAACUCACACGGGGGAGAAGCCAUUUAAAUGCAUUGAAUGUGGAAAGAGCUUCAGUCAGAAUGGAGCACUUAGAAAACAUCAACAAACUCAUACAGGGCAGAAACCAUUUAAAUGUAUGGAGUGUGGAAAGAGCUUCAGACUUUGUGGAGACCUUAAUAUUCAUGAGAGAAUUCACACAGGUGAAAAGCCAUAAAUGUAUGCCGUGCUCCACUCAAGGUGCACUCUUUACUUCACAUCAAGAAACUCAUAAAGGCGGAAAUCAAUUUUAAAUGCAUGGAACCCGUGUGAUGUUCUGGUGUUUGUAUUUAAAUUUGUACACACACACAUAUAUAUGUAUUAACGUAAUGAAGGUCACAUAUACUAUAUGUACAAAAGAAGUUGCAAGUUGUUGCUAGAUAAACAGGGGGAGAGUGUGAAUCUGGAAUGCUCAAGGUGUUUGAUGAAUCUGUUGAGUUUUGACCUCCGCUCUUCACUGCCAAAAUGAUGGGCUGCCCUUGUCUUGUGGAUCAGCAUCUGUCAGGCUUCAGGGAACUGGCUUCCUUCCCCCUUGGCCGUAGAUAAGCAGAACAAAGGAAAAGGAUUCUUCUUACCUGUUAGAAACUUUAAUGAUUCCAGCAAGAGAACAAAGAACCCGUCUUCACACAAAUGGCGGUGCUCCCAAUGAAUAAGUCCACCCCCUCACAUCCCUAGUCACCCAUGUCACUUCUGCAUCUUGUAACCUGGGCUUGCACCCUCUGUGCUUUCUGUCCUGCCACUUUUGCAGCUCUCUCUGACCUUGGGGAAAGCAGAGGGAUGCUUUACAGAGACAGUGAAUCAGUUACCUCUCUCUCCCCUAGUGUUUUUUCUUCAAGCUGUUCCCCAUCCAGUAUUUCCCGGCUUCUGCCUUCUGAACUAUGUUCCUCUGCAAACCACUGUUCCAAAUCUAUACAGUCCUGCUCCUAGGAAGAUUAAGGGGGAUUGAGAGGCUCCCACCAUUGUGCCUCAGUGCAGCUCUCCUCAGCACAAUACCUGGAGACUGCGGUAAGGUUUUGGUUUAGGGGAGAAAGCGUGGGCCUGGGUCUAGGCCAGGGGUGGGAAUAAGGGUAGAGAAUUACAAGGGGUGCUGCUUUUUCUGCGCAAGGCUGGUUCUUGUUCCUCCUGAGUACACGCCUGUAAUCAGCGUGUGUGCUUUUAGCAGGAGAGCGCUCCUUUGUCUCAGAGCGUAAGAUGCUUCAGGAGGCAUUAGAGUGAAGCGCCUGUAUCGCACAUGUGCCAUGAGAGCAAUGGUGGGGGGAAUGUAAAUACCUGUCGGGGUGCUUAAAAGGAGGCUGUUGUUUCAUGAGAGGGGGCGGGGGGAGGAGAGCCUUAGCAACGCCAAACAGAAAGAGCCAAGCGUGCUUAUAGGAUACAUGUGGUUGCUACUCUGACUUUGAAGCUAGGCAGUGGAAGUGGCACAUGCUUCUGCUAAAAGCAGAUCUGGGGUAGGGAAGAUUAAGUUAAUUGCAACCUUGAACUAUGGUUACCAGACGUCCCCAUUUCCCGGAGAAAGUCCCCGGAUUUACAAAUCUGUCCCCGGACAAAAUCCGCCCCUGGAAUGUCCCUGGAUAUCAUUUAAUGUCCCCGGGUUUAUAUUUUAAGUGUUGUACAUUUAUUAGUAGGGAAUGAAUGUUGCAUGAUUGUUUCAUCGGCACAAGACACAUCAUAUGGAGACUUCUGGCAAGGCAAAAUGGCGGGCGCCAUGGCAGCAGCAGCUCCUGAAGCCAGCCAGAGUCAACUGCACUACCAGGCUGGCUCCAGGGUGCUGAGACUGUCGCUGACGCUUCCACUGCUGAGGAACCCCCCCACGACCCAAAUCAAGCCAGGAGCGAGAGCACCUGGCCAACUGCCCAGCAGCGCUCCGGGGCCAGGAAAACCCUGGAGACAAGGCAGGGAGAAGAAGGAGAAGGAAGAGAAAGAGGAAGGAUAAAAAAGAGGGGAUCCCCGACCUUGCCAUGCCACUGCUGCCGCUGAGGAGCAGAGGGAGGAGAGCACUGGGAGGGCAAGGACACAUGACCAAACCCAGGUCCGACCUGAGCCUACUCCACUCCAAGAAAGCAGGCCAGGGUCCAGAGGAAGGCUGCGCGACAGAGGAGACCACAGAAGAGAUUACUUCUUAAUUUUUCUUUAAAAAUAGCUUUUUAAAAAUAACUUCUUUUCUCUUUUUUUAAAAAAAAACGUGUCCCCAGAUUGCUACUCUGACUUUAAAGAUGGGCAGUGGAAGUGGCACAUGCUUCACUUCUGGGUUGGCGCCAUCGCCGAAUGGCGGACUCCCUCCGAGCUCCGGAGGGAGCCUGCUCGGCAGGGGCUGGGUUCUACCGCGCCGGCGACGCGGGGACCCUCAAAAACCAUGGGUGCUGAAACCCAUGGGCAUGGUAACUCGGCGGGCACCGUUUGCCCCCCGACCCGCGAAGGAGCCUUUUUUAAAGGCUGCGGAGCGGGUGACGGGGGGGGGUGCUAUGAGUCCUCCGCUUCCCCUGCCGAGCGAAGCCGCAUGCCAUUCGACGGAGAGCGCUGACUUCUUCCAUUGAAAAUUUGGACUUAAAAGAAUAAUCCGUGAGUAAUUGGAACUCGGAUUAAAAAGGGGGGGGAAAUUUUUUUUUAAAUCUGGAGCGAGCAGGGGAGGUGCAAAAAGGAAGUCAGCCUCCCCCCUGUUGUAGAGGAGUUAAAGCAAAGGAUUUGACAACUAAGAUCGAGCGCAACCUUAUUUGGAUAAAGUUAUCAAUUUCGCGAUGGAAAAGUAUAAGAUUGGGCUGGAGGAGAAAAGUGGAAUGUGAAUUAAAAUGCACCCCCCCCCCCGGAAACCCCGGGAGCAAUCCGUGAGAGCGCCGGGAGAGGAGAAAUAGAGGUUUUGACAGCUGUCAAAGGAGCUGUCAAAGUGGAAGAACAAAAAGAGAACUUUGUUACGAGGACUUUGCCGGUUACAUUUGUUACAAAUUGGAUAUAAAUUGUUUAAAACAAGGAAUAACAAGUUACUUUGACUGUUGGGUGUGAUCUGGAAGGAAACUGAGUUACUAUAAUCCCUCUAGAGGAGCUGUGGGACACUACAAGUAUUGUUGCUAUGGAAUUUGAAUAGGACUUUUUAUCUCCUGGGAAACUGCAGAAGUGGAACACUAUUUUGUCUACAGAGGUCUAUACACUAAAGGAGACAAUGGAUUUAUCUAUUGAAGAAUGGAAGGGACUUGACGUAAUGUUUUGUUCCUGAAUAACAAAGCCUCUGUAGAGGAAUUAGAAGCUUUUGGAAUUAGAACAUUUGUGCAGAAGAACAGGGGGGGAAAAAAGGAGGAGAGAGAUCAACAAGAACAACAAGAAUAACAAGAACUGGACAAAGGUGGAAGUGGGAACAUUUGGGACAUCCAGAUUUGAAAGAUCUAAAGGAAUAAAAUUGGAGGUUUUACUCUUAAAUAUAAAGAUCUGGAUGGAAAAAAAUGGACCUUUUUGAGACAGACUCCUUCCAAGAUUGGACAUUCAAAAUUAAAGAUGACCAAAAGACGACAAAGACUAUUUAAAAGACGACAAAGCGGACUGGUGAAGGACUAUGGCUUAGAUGUGGGAGCUCCAGAACGACAGUAGACAUUGAUGGACAUUGGGAACGCAACCGGGAAAGGGGGGAGGGAAAUUUGGAAUCCAAAGCAUGUUAAAUUACAAUUUAUUCCUUUUUUUAUUUUUUUAUUCAAAUCUGUAUUAAAGAGGGGAACUCGUGGAAGGGAACAGGUCGAUUUUAGGGGAUGGGAAAAUAUUUUUAAAUUGGGACAAUGAUAAGAAGUUUAAAACUUGGGGUAAGAAUUUGUUGAAUUUAUUUGAAAGAAUUGGAAUACAAGAGGGGGAGGGGAGGGGAAGUCCUGGAAAGAUGCUAAUGAAAAUAAGGUUUUAAAUUUGGAUGUUUUUCUUUUUCUGUUAUAUUUGAAAAUUUUUAAUAAAU
This is a long non-coding RNA of Podarcis muralis (Common wall lizard), 4589 nucleotides long. The record is from Ensembl. NCBI's taxonomy places the organism in Eukaryota, Metazoa, Chordata, Lepidosauria, Squamata, Lacertidae.